UACGUAGGACGCAAGCGUUGUCCGGAAUUAUUGGGCGUAAAGAGCUCGUAGGCGGUUUGUCACGUCUGCUGUGAAAACCCGAGGCUUAACCUCGGGCCUGCAGUGGGUACGGGCAGACUAGAGUGUGGUAGGGGAGACCGGAAUUCCUGGUGCAGCGGUGGAAUGCGCAGAUAUCAGGAGGAACACCGAUGGCGAAGGCAGGUCUCUGGGCCACAACUGACGCUGAGGAGCGAAAGCGUGGGGAGCGAACAGG
This 253-nucleotide ribosomal RNA is filed under the name uncultured bacterium. Its description in RNAcentral is "partial 16S ribosomal RNA". It matches the Rfam family "Bacterial small subunit ribosomal RNA", at positions 524 to 776 of the family's 1533-position model. The record is from RNAcentral.